This 253-nucleotide unclassified non-coding RNA is filed under the name uncultured Acidobacteriota bacterium. RNAcentral's name for it is "uncultured Acidobacteria bacterium contains 16S-23S intergenic spacer region". It matches the Rfam family "Bacterial small subunit ribosomal RNA", at positions 524 to 776 of the family's 1533-position model. The record is from RNAcentral. Lineage: Bacteria; Pseudomonadati; Acidobacteriota.
UACGGCGGGUGCAAGCGUUAAUCGGAAUUACUGGGCGUAAAGAGCGCGUAGGCGGUUGUGCAAGUCGGUGGUGAAAGCCCUCGGCUCAACUGAGGAAUUGCCCCCGAAACUGCACAACUGGAGUCCCGGAGAGGGUAGUGGAAUUCCCAGUGUAGCGGUGAAAUGCGUAGAUAUUGGGAGGAACACCCGUGGCGAAGGCGGCUACCUGGACGGGUACUGACGCUGAGGCGCGAAAGCGUGGGGAGCAAACAGG